ACGUAGGGGCCAAGCGUUGUCCGGAGUUACUGGGCGUAAAGCGUGCGCAGGCGGCUCGUUGCGCCCGACGUGAAAGCCCCCGGCUCAACCGGGGAGGGUCGUCGGGGACGGGCGAGCUUGAGGGUGGCAGGGGCUGGUGGAGCUCCCGGUGUAGUGGUGAAAUGCGUAGAGAUCGGGAAGAACACCCGUGGCGAAGGCGGCCAGCUGGGCCACACCUGACGCUGAGGCACGAAGGCGUGGGGAGCGAACGG
RNAcentral lists this ribosomal RNA (251 nucleotides) under uncultured prokaryote. RNAcentral describes it as "partial 16S ribosomal RNA". It matches the Rfam family "Bacterial small subunit ribosomal RNA", at positions 525 to 775 of the family's 1533-position model. The record is from RNAcentral.